CCUACGGGUGGCAGCAGUGAGGAAUAUUGGUCAAUGGGCGGGAGUCUGAACCAGCCAAGCCGCGUGAGGGAAGAAGGUACAGCGUAUCGUAAACCUCUUUUGUCAGGGAACAAAGGCGGGGACUAGUCCCCGGAUGAGGGUACCUUAAGAAAAAGCAUCGGCUAACUCCGUGCCAGCAGCCGCGGUAAUACGGAGGAUGCGAGCGUUGUCCGGAUUUAUUGGGUUUAAGGGGUUCGAAGGCGGCCUGUUAAGUUAGCGGUAAAAGCCCGGGGUUAAACCCCGGCGUGCCGGUGAAACUGGCGGGCUGGAGAUGGGGAGAAGUACGCGGAAUGCGCGGUGUAGCGGUGAAAUGCUUAGAUAUCGCGCAGAACCCCGAUUGCGAAGGCAGCGUACCGGCUCCAAACUGACGCUGAGGCACGAAAGCGUGGGUAUCGAACAGGAUUAGAUACCCGGGUAGUC
This 459-nucleotide ribosomal RNA is filed under the name uncultured bacterium. Its description in RNAcentral is "partial 16S ribosomal RNA". It matches the Rfam family "Bacterial small subunit ribosomal RNA", at positions 338 to 795 of the family's 1533-position model. The record is from RNAcentral.